UGGGGAAUUUUGGACAAUGGGGGAAACCCUGAUCCAGCCAUCCCGCGUGUGCGAUGAAGGCCUUCGGGUUGUAAAGCACUUUUGGCAGGAAAGAAACGUCAUGGGUUAAUACCCCGUGAAACUGACGGUACCUGCAGAAUAAGCACCGGCUAACUACGUGCCAGCAGCCGCGGUAAUAUGUAGGGUGCAAGCGUUAAUCGGAAUUACUGGGCGUAAAGCGUGCGCAGGCGGUUCGGAAAGAAAGAUGUGAAAUCCCAGAGCUCAACUUUGGAACUGCAUUUUUAACUACCGGGCUAGAGUGUGUCAGAGGGAGGUGGAAUUCCGCGUGUAGCAGUGAAAUGCGUAGAUAUGCGGAGGAACACCGAUGGCGAAGGCAGCCUCCUGGGAUAACACUGACGCUCAUGCACGAAAGCGUGGGGAGCAAACAGG
This 429-nucleotide ribosomal RNA is filed under the name Acidobacteriota bacterium. Its description in RNAcentral is "Acidobacteria bacterium partial 16S ribosomal RNA". It matches the Rfam family "Bacterial small subunit ribosomal RNA", at positions 355 to 776 of the family's 1533-position model. The record is from RNAcentral. Lineage: Bacteria; Pseudomonadati; Acidobacteriota.